AUGGAACAAUGUAGGCAAGGGAAGUCGGCAAAACGGAUCCGUAACUUCGGGAAAAGGAUUGGCUCUGAGGACUGGGCUCGGGGGUCCCGGCCCCGAACCCGUCGGCUGUCGGCGGAUUGCUCGAGCUGCUCACGCGGCGAGAGCGGGUCGCCGCGUGCCGGCCGGGGGACGGACCGGGAAUCGCCCCUUCGGGGGCUUUCCCCAAGCAUGAAACAGUCGACUCAGAACUGGUACGGACAAGGGGAAUCCGACUGUUUAAUUAAAACAAAGCAUUGCGAUGGUCCUCGCGGAUGCUGA
Molecule: ribosomal RNA, 297 nt
Filed under: Triticum aestivum (bread wheat)
Lineage: Eukaryota; Viridiplantae; Streptophyta; Magnoliopsida; Poales; Poaceae
Description: partial small subunit ribosomal RNA
Rfam family: Eukaryotic large subunit ribosomal RNA
Source: RNAcentral